GCGCAGCAGGCGCGAAAACUCCGCUAUGCGCGAAAGCGCGACGGGGUCACCCCGAGUGCCACCCGCUGAGGGUGGCUUUUCCCCAGUCUAAACAGCUGGGGGAAUAAGGGGAGGGCAAGCCUGGUGUCAGCCGCCGCGGUAAUACCAGCUCCCCGAGUGGUCGGGACGAUUAUUGGGCCUAAAGCGUCCGUAGCCGGCCCAGUAAGUCCCCUGUUAAAAUCCAGCGAUCCAAUCGCUGGGCUGCAGGGGAUACUGCUGGGGUUAGGGGGCGGGAGAGGCUGGCGGUAUUCCCGGGGGAGGGGUGAAAUCCCGAGAUCCCGGGAGGACCACCGGUGGCGAAGGCGGCCAGCUAGAACGCGCCCGACGGUGAGGGACGAAAGCCGGGGGAGCGAACCGGAUUAGAUACCCGCGUAGU
RNAcentral lists this ribosomal RNA (415 nucleotides) under uncultured microorganism. Its description in RNAcentral is "bacterial SSU rRNA". It matches the Rfam family "Archaeal small subunit ribosomal RNA", at positions 330 to 745 of the family's 1478-position model. The record is from RNAcentral.